RNAcentral lists this long non-coding RNA (246 nucleotides) under Homo sapiens (human). RNAcentral describes it as "LHRI_LNC2024.1". Lineage: Eukaryota; Metazoa; Chordata; Mammalia; Primates; Hominidae. The record is from RNAcentral.
ACUAGACAGUGGUGUCUAUUCAAUAUAAUAUGGCAUCGAAAGCGCAAGAAACAAAAGAAAACAUAGAUUAAUUGAGCUUCAUCCAAAUUAACAACUUUUGUGCUUCAAAGGACACCAUUGAGAAGUGAAAAGAAAAACCACAGAAUGACAAAGUAUUUACAAAUCAUAUAUCUGUUAAGGUACUAGUAUCCAGAAUAAAGAACUAUUACAACUCAAUAAUAAAAAGACAACCAAUUUAAAUAUGGG